GGGUUGUGAGGUUAAGCGACUAAGCGUACACGGUGGAUGCCCUGGCAGUCAGAGGCGAUGAAGGACGUGCUAAUCUGCGAAAAGCGCCGGCGAGGUGAUAUGAACCUUUGACCCGGCGAUGUCCGAAUGGGGAAACCCAGUGUGAUUCGUCACACUAUCGUUAACUGAAUACAUAGGUUAACGAGGCGAACCGGGGGAACUGAAACAUCUAAGUACCCCGAGGAAAAGAAAUCAACCGAGAUUCCCCCAGUAGCGGCGAGCGAACGGGGAGCAGCCCAGAGUCUGAAUCAGCUUGUGUGUUAGUGGAAGCGUCUGGAAAGUCGCACGGUACAGGGUGACAGUCCCGUACACGAAAAUGCACAGGUUGUGAACUCGAAGAGUAGGGCGGGACACGUGGUAUCCUGUCUGAAUAUGGGGGGACCAUCCUCCAAGGCUAAAUACUCCUGACUGACCGAUAGUGAACCAGUACCGUGAGGGAAAGGCGAAAAGAACCCCGGCGAGGGGAGUGAAAAAGAACCUGAAACCGUGUACGUACAAGCAGUGGGAGCACCUUCGUGGUGUGACUGCGUACCUUUUGUAUAAUGGGUCAGCGACUUAUAUUCUGUAGCAAGGUUAACCGUAUAGGGGAGCCGAAGGGAAACCGAGUCUUAACUGGGCGUUAAGUUGCAGGGUAUAGACCCGAAACCCGGUGAUCUAGCCAUGGGCAGGUUGAAGGUUGGGUAACACUAACUGGAGGACCGAACCGACUAAUGUUGAAAAAUUAGCGGAUGACUUGUGGCUGGGGGUGAAAGGCCAAUCAAACCGGGAGAUAGCUGGUUCUCCCCGAAAGCUAUUUAGGUAGCGCCUCGUGAACUCAUCUUCGGGGGUAGAGCACUGUUUCGGCUAGGGGGCCAUCCCGGCUUACCAACCCGAUGCAAACUACGAAUACCGAAGAAUGUUAUCACGGGAGACACACGGCGGGUGCUAACGUCCGUCGUGAAGAGGGAAACAACCCAGACCGCCAGCUAAGGUCCCAAAGUCAUGGUUAAGUGGGAAACGAUGUGGGAAGGCACAGACAGCCAGGAUGUUGGCUUAGAAGCAGCCAUCAUUUAAAGAAAGCGUAAUAGCUCACUGGUCGAGUCGGCCUGCGCGGAAGAUGUAACGGGGCUAAACCAUGCACCGAAGCUGCGGCAGCGACGCUUAUGCGUUGUUGGGUAGGGGAGCGUUCUGUAAGCCGUUGAAGGUGGCCUGUGAGGGUUGCUGGAGGUAUCAGAAGUGCGAAUGCUGACAUAAGUAACGAUAAAGCGGGUGAAAAGCCCGCUCGCCGGAAGACCAAGGGUUCCUGUCCAACGUUAAUCGGGGCAGGGUGAGUCGACCCCUAAGGCGAGGCCGAAAGGCGUAGUCGAUGGGAAACAGGUUAAUAUUCCUGUACUUGGUGUUACUGCGAAGGGGGGACGGAGAAGGCUAUGUUAGCCGGGCGACGGUUGUCCCGGUUUAAGCAUGUAGGCGGAACGAUUAGGUAAAUCCGGUCGUUUAUUAACGCUGAGGUGUGAUGACGAGGCACUACGGUGCUGAAGUAACAAAUGCCCUGCUUCCAGGAAAAGCCUCUAAGCAUCAGGUAACAUCAAAUCGUACCCCAAACCGACACAGGUGGUCAGGUAGAGAAUACCAAGGCGCUUGAGAGAACUCGGGUGAAGGAACUAGGCAAAAUGGUGCCGUAACUUCGGGAGAAGGCACGCUGAUAUGUAGGUGAAGCCCCUGCGGGUGGAGCUGAAAUCAGUCGAAGAUACCAGCUGGCUGCAACUGUUUAUUAAAAACACAGCACUGUGCAAACACGAAAGUGGACGUAUACGGUGUGACGCCUGCCCGGUGCCGGAAGGUUAAUUGAUGGGGUUAGCGGUAACGCGAAGCUCUUGAUCGAAGCCCCGGUAAACGGCGGCCGUAACUAUAACGGUCCUAAGGUAGCGAAAUUCCUUGUCGGGUAAGUUCCGACCUGCACGAAUGGCGUAAUGAUGGCCAGGCUGUCUCCACCCGAGACUCAGUGAAAUUGAACUCGCUGUGAAGAUGCAGUGUACCCGCGGCAAGACGGAAAGACCCCGUGAACCUUUACUAUAGCUUGACACUGAACACUGGUCCUUGAUGUGUAGGAUAGGUGGGAGGCUUUGAAGUGUGGACGCCAGUCUGCAUGGAGCCGUCCUUGAAAUACCACCCUUUAAUGGCUGGUGUUCUAACGUAGACCCGUAAUCCGGGUUGCGGACAGUGUCUGGUGGGUAGUUUGACUGGGGCGGUCUCCUCCCAAAGAGUAACGGAGGAGCACGAAGGUUAGCUAAUCCUGGUCGGACAUCAGGAGGUUAGUGCAAUGGCAUAAGCUAGCUUGACUGCGAGAGUGACGGCUCGAGCAGGUGCGAAAGCAGGUCAUAGUGAUCCGGUGGUUCUGAAUGGAAGGGCCAUCGCUCAACGGAUAAAAGGUACUCCGGGGAUAACAGGCUGAUACCGCCCAAGAGUUCAUAUCGACGGCGGUGUUUGGCACCUCGAUGUCGGCUCAUCACAUCCUGGGGCUGAAGUAGGUCCCAAGGGUAUGGCUGUUCGCCAUUUAAAGUGGUACGCGAGCUGGGUUUAGAACGUCGUGAGACAGUUCGGUCCCUAUCUGCCGUGGGCGCUGGAGAAUUGAGGGGGGCUGCUCCUAGUACGAGAGGACCGGAGUGGACGCAUCACUGGUGUUCGGGUUGUCAUGCCAAUGGCACUGCCCGGUAGCUAAAUGCGGAAAAGAUAAGUGCUGAAAGCAUCUAAGCACGAAACUUGCCCCGAGAUGAGUUCUCCCUGAGACUUUAAGUCUCCUGAAGGAACGUUGAAGACGACGACGUUGAUAGGUCGGGUGUGUAAGCGCAGCGAUGCGUUGAGCUAACCGAUACUAAUGAACCGUGAGGCUUAACCUUACAACGCCGAAG
This 2927-nucleotide ribosomal RNA is filed under the name Enterobacter cloacae. RNAcentral's name for it is "23S ribosomal RNA". It matches the Rfam family "Bacterial large subunit ribosomal RNA". Lineage: Bacteria; Pseudomonadati; Pseudomonadota; Gammaproteobacteria; Enterobacterales; Enterobacteriaceae. The record is from RNAcentral.